Molecule: ribosomal RNA, 18 nt
Filed under: Monactinus sturmii
Lineage: Eukaryota; Viridiplantae; Chlorophyta; Chlorophyceae; Sphaeropleales; Hydrodictyaceae
Description: partial 28S ribosomal RNA
Source: RNAcentral
GACCUGAGCUCAGGGCAU